CCUACGGGGGGCAGCAGUAGGGAAUCUUCGGCAAUGGACGAAAGUCUGACCGAGCAACGCCGCGUGAGUGAAGAAGGUUUUCGGAUCGUAAAACUCUGUUGUUAGAGAAGAACAAGGAUGAGAGUAACUGUUCAUCCCUUGACGGUAUCUAACCAGAAAGCCACGGCUAACUACGUGCCAGCAGCCGCGGUAAUACGUAGGUGGCAAGCGUUGUCCGGAUUUAUUGGGCGUAAAGCGAGCGCAGGCGGUUUCUUAAGUCUGAUGUGAAAGCCCCCGGCUCAACCGGGGAGGGUCAUUGGAAACUGGGAGACUUGAGUGCAGAAGAGGAGAGUGGAAUCCCAUGUGUAGCGGUGAAAUGCGUAGAUAUAUGGAGGAACACCAGUGGCGAAGGCGGCUCUCUGGUCUGUAACUGACGCUAAGGCUCGAAAGCGUGGGGAGCAAACAGGAUUAGAUACCCCAGUAGUC
RNAcentral lists this ribosomal RNA (465 nucleotides) under uncultured Enterococcus sp. RNAcentral describes it as "bacterial SSU rRNA". It matches the Rfam family "Bacterial small subunit ribosomal RNA", at positions 338 to 795 of the family's 1533-position model. The record is from RNAcentral. Lineage: Bacteria; Bacillati; Bacillota; Bacilli; Lactobacillales; Enterococcaceae.